GUGGUCAAGCGAAUAAGGGCUAAUGGUGGAUACCUAGGCACACAGAGGCGAAGAAGGACGUGGUGACCGACGAAACGCUCCGGGGAGCUGGAAGCAAGCGACUGAGCCGGAGAUAUCCGAAUGGGGCAACCCCAAGUACUGCCUGUUGAAUAUAUAGACAG
RNAcentral lists this ribosomal RNA (161 nucleotides) under Scytonema sp. HK-05. Its description in RNAcentral is "partial 23S ribosomal RNA". It matches the Rfam family "Bacterial large subunit ribosomal RNA", at positions 1 to 173 of the family's 2925-position model. The record is from RNAcentral. Lineage: Bacteria; Bacillati; Cyanobacteriota; Cyanophyceae; Nostocales; Scytonemataceae.